RNAcentral lists this ribosomal RNA (468 nucleotides) under uncultured bacterium. RNAcentral describes it as "partial 16S ribosomal RNA". It matches the Rfam family "Bacterial small subunit ribosomal RNA", at positions 28 to 507 of the family's 1533-position model. The record is from RNAcentral.
GACGAACGCUGGCGGCGUGCUUAACACAUGCAAGUCGAACGGAAAGGCCCUGCUUUUGUGGGGUGCUCGAGUGGCGAACGGGUGAGUAACACGUGAGUAACCUGCCCUUGACUUUGGGAUAACUUCAGGAAACUGGGGCUAAUACCGGAUAGGAGCUCCUGCUGCAUGGUGGGGGUUGGAAAGUUUCGGCGGUUGGGGAUGGACUCGCGGCUUAUCAGCUUGUUGGUGGGGUAGUGGCUUACCAAGGCUUUGACGGGUAGCCGGCCUGAGAGGGUGACCGGCCGCAUUGGGACUGAGAUAGGGCCCAGACGCCUACGGGGGGCAGCAGUGGGGAAUGUUGCACAGUGGGGGGGGGCCUGAUGCAGCAGCGCCGCGGGCGGAAGGACGGCCUUCGGGUGAUAAACCGCUUUCGCCUGUGACGAAGCGUGAGUGACGGUAAUGGGUAAAGAAGCACCGGCUAACUACGUG